Non-coding RNA from Mycobacterium sp. GA-1999, 104 nucleotides. The record is from Rfam. NCBI's taxonomy places the organism in Bacteria, Bacillati, Actinomycetota, Actinomycetes, Mycobacteriales, Mycobacteriaceae.
UCUGGCCCGUGCAUCGCGGUCUCUGCCCGAACCGGCCCUGGCGUACUUCCCCAACGCCAGGUCCGCGCUCUCGGACAGGGACCCCGAUGCAGGGGCGUGGAACG